RNAcentral lists this ribosomal RNA (304 nucleotides) under uncultured fungus. RNAcentral's name for it is "eukaryotic LSU rRNA". The stretch from base 1 to 114 matches the Rfam family "5.8S ribosomal RNA", at positions 42 to 154 of the family's 154-position model. Lineage: Eukaryota; Fungi. The record is from RNAcentral.
AACGCAGCGAAGAGCGAUAAGUAGUGUGAAUUGCAGAAUUCAGUGAAUCAUCGAAUCUUUGAACGCACAUUGCGCCCCUUGGUAUCCCGAGGGGGCAUGCCUGUUCGAGCGUCAUUUCACCACUCAAGCCUGGCUUGGUGUUGGGCGACGUCCCCUUUAGGGACGCGCCUCGAAACACUCGGCGGCGUGGCACCGGCUUUAAGCGUAGCAGAAUCUUUCGCUUUGAAAGUCGGGGCCCCCGUCUGCCGGAAGACCUACUCACAAGGUUGACCUCGGAUCAGGUAGGGAUACCCGCUGAACUUAA